GACGAACGCUGGCGGCGUGCUUAACACAUGCAAGUCGAGCGAGGCCCCUCCUUCGGGAGGGUGUCCUAGCGGCGAACGGGUGAGUAACACGUGGGCAACCUGCCCUCAGCUCUGGGAUAACUCCGGGAAACCGGGGCUAUUACCGGAUACGACCUCCACGGUCAUCUGCGGAGGUGGAAAGUUUUUCGGCUGGGGAUGGGCCCGCGGCCUAUCAGCUAGUUGGUGGGGUAGUGGCCCACCAAGGCGACGACGGGUAGCCGGCCUGAGAGGGCGACCGGCCACACGGGGACUGAGACACGGCCCAGACUCCUACGGGAGACAGCAGGGGGGAAUAUUGCGCAAUGGGCGCGAGCCUGACGCAGCGACGCCGCGUGAGGGAAGAAGGCCUUCGGGUUAUAAACCUCUGUCAGCAGGGACGAAGCGAAAGUGACGGUACCUGCAGAAGAAGCACCGGCCAACUACGUG
This 465-nucleotide ribosomal RNA is filed under the name uncultured bacterium. RNAcentral describes it as "partial 16S ribosomal RNA". It matches the Rfam family "Bacterial small subunit ribosomal RNA", at positions 28 to 507 of the family's 1533-position model. The record is from RNAcentral.